Long non-coding RNA from Dermacentor andersoni, 662 nucleotides. RefSeq lists it as uncharacterized. The record is from RefSeq and is a predicted model, not a curated record. NCBI's taxonomy places the organism in Eukaryota, Metazoa, Arthropoda, Arachnida, Ixodida, Ixodidae.
UUUUGCAUGCGCUACAAAUAGGCGCUCCGUCUUUCGCCUUUGCCGGUAACCACCCAUGGAUAAAUCGAGGAGCGGGUUUGCAAAGACGAGGUGCCAUUAGAAGACCGCCUUCUACUACUACUAGACGAUCAACUACAAUGCAUUUUUCAUGUCUUCUGGUGGCGAACCAGCCCUAUUCGUCUUCUUUGUUGUGUGUGGCGAAUAUGCUAGACAAAGACCCCGAAAUUCACUUCAAGUGUCUGUACAACACUAACGAGUAUGAAUUGAAACUCUCGAGAACAUCAAAAUGACAAACGCUGACAAAGUCUGCACGCAGGGCACGAGGACUAUUCGGACAAGGCAAAUAAUCUAUUCAAGAUAUUCAGCUCCGGAACACUAGAAGUCUGACUAAAAAGGAAAAUAAAGAUAUUUCGAACACUGCUGGCGCUCCGUCUUUCGCCUUUGCCGGUAACCACCCAUGGACAAAUCGUGGAGGGGGUUUGCAAAGACAAAAUGCCAUUAGAAGACCGCCUCCUUCAACUACUACUAGACGAACAACUACAAGUACGUAUUUUUAAAGCAUUCAUAUGAACAUCUGACAUCGUCCAGAUUGCAAGCCUAAACAGGGAAGCUUUGUUUACAAAGGGAAUACCACUAAUAAGGCACUCAGGGGGAAUAAGAGC